RNA transcript from Dreissena polymorpha, 1161 nucleotides. RefSeq lists it as uncharacterized. Lineage: Eukaryota; Metazoa; Mollusca; Bivalvia; Myida; Dreissenidae. The transcript is spliced from 5 exons. The record is from RefSeq and is a predicted model, not a curated record.
ACUGUUGGAACGGUAAUCGAUAUGUGUGUCCUAAACAUCUAGUUUAAAUAGUUGUGUACUCUGUUUAUCUGUUACAUAAAUCGAAAUGGCUUACAAUUCAGAAACCUUGACCAGAUCAAGACAAACAUUUGUCAGUGUGAUUUAUUAAUGAGAAAUACGAAAGCUACAAACUAAACUCAGACGUUUGGACUCUCGUAUUGAGGAACUCAAACAGACGAUAGAAAAGCUGAACAAAGAGAUUGAAGAAGCAGCGGAAAUUUGCGAUGAAAGGGAUUUUAACAUCGUUUUUCAUCAAAUGGGCGAGAGUCUUGGACUAAUUGUAGGAGGCUUAAUGAUGGCAACAGGAGGACUACCAACUCUUGCGGUGCUCUUUACAGGGAUCGGAGCGGUGCUCAGUGUUGGAAAUGCUAGCCGAUGUUAUUAUAAGUGGCAAGAAUAUAUGUGCACGAAAGAGGUUAAAAAUUACUCAACGGAAUUGAUUGAAUGUCGUAGGAAAAGAAAAAAAGUUCAACAAACACUUAAUGCAAAGCUGAACUAACAAAUAAAAUUGGUAAAAUGUAACUAUUAAGAAAUAAAUAUAUAUAUAUAUAUAUGCAUCGACCGUUCGAAGGCGAUGACCCCAGUUUUGAUCAUUUGAUGUGUACAGUUGAUGUCCUAUUACAAACGUAUUUGAUAAGAACAGGAAAUGCAUUCUUCAUAGAUUUUUGGUGAAUCAUUUUUACUUUAUUAUUGCGUCAUUCGCGUGUAUUUCUUUUUUCCUAUCUCGGUUUUGCUUAUAUAACCAGUUUACCAAAUAAACUAAGUUUGCUCUUUUAUUUUUAAACGUGUUUUGUGUAUGUUAAUGGUCAUGUCCCACUGUUUAUUGUAUAAUCUUCGGCACUAACUGACAUAUGCAAUUACAUAUUCAAUGAAUUGAGACUUAUUGAGAUAGUAUAUUAUAAUGAACGUACUCACAACACACACAUCAUCUAUUUAAAAAAAACACUAAAUGAAAACAUCCGACGUUAAUAUCACUAACAGUCAACCGUCUCCUGAGGUUGACAAAUGUGAUCAAAAUAUGUAAAAUCAAUCUUUAUAUUAAUUAACAAACAUAAAGUAACGGGCAUACAUCGUGUUAUGGCAGUAAAUUGUAUUUUAUGUCGGAAAUAAACAAUAGCUGUA